Strigops habroptila (Kakapo) is the source of this 6201-nucleotide RNA transcript. It is a transcript of the gene named tubulin tyrosine ligase like 7, with no coding region annotated. The record is from RefSeq and is a predicted model, not a curated record. The transcript is spliced from 23 exons. NCBI's taxonomy places the organism in Eukaryota, Metazoa, Chordata, Aves, Psittaciformes, Psittacidae.
CCCGCGCGGUUGCUAGGUCCUCUGCUCGCGUCCUCGGGCACAGAAACAGCGCGGGCCGCUUCCACCGCUGAGCGGCGGCGGGGGAGACCGGUGGCUCGGGAGGGCUGGCCACCGCUCCCGGCGCCGCCCGCCCCGCUCCGCGGCCACCGCCCGCCUCUCCUCAGGCGCUCUCCUCGCACAUACCUCUGUGGGAGGGCCCAUCCUCGCCGCCCCGCCUGGCCGGCCACUGGCGGUGCUCCCUCUCGGGGAAUGGUUGCUUCCAGCUCCCCGCCGUAACGUCCCGCUCCUCCUCCCGCCGGUGCCGGGCUCGGAUGCUGCCAGCCGGGAGAGCCCCGCCGCGGCGUCCGUGAGGCGCCGGACGCUACCGGCCGGGCCCCGCGGCACCCCUGCGUCGCCUGGGAGGACCGGAGCGCCGACAGAAAAACACCCCUUUCUGUAUUUCUGAUGGUUUGGAUACAUUCCACAUACUUCCAAAGGGAGCUGCCCACCACUUUGGGAGCAUUAGAAGAGUCCAGGAGAUCAAGCCUGUCAGCAGUUAUUAGAUAUCUAUCCAUUCCAGAACUAAUAUUUGCUCCUACUAGAGAAUGAAAUGGUAUGACUGGAGUUUUAAAUAAUUCAGCUUUUCCAGCUUCAUCAUUUUCUGAGAACUUGGGACAGAAUUUUGGGCUCUACUUCUACGCUACUCUAGGUUAUAAUGCCAUCCUUGCCUAAUGAGAGAGAUAACCAUAGAACUGCUCCCCUGGCUUUGACUUCGGGACUACCCUAUCAAAGCACAAUUAAAAGAAAAGUCAGAAAGAAGAAGAAUGGAGUCAUCACUGCAAAUGUCGCUGGCACAAAAUAUGAAAUUGUACGUGUAGUAAUACGAGAAAUGGGAUUUGUGAAAACACGUGAUGAAGAUGAAACAGCUAAUCUUAUAUGGAGUGAUUCUGCUGUGCAACAAGAAAAGAUUGCUGAGCUUCGGAACUAUCAGAGAAUAAACCAUUUUCCAGGAAUGGGAGAGAUCUGCAGAAAGGAUUUUCUGGCAAGAAACAUGACUAAAAUGAUCAAGAGUCAGCCUCAGGAGUAUAGUUUUAUUCCUCGAACAUGGAUCUUCCCUGCAGAAUACACACAGUUUCAGAACUACGUAAAAGAACUGAAGAAGAAACGUAGACAGAAAACUUUCAUAGUCAAACCAGCUAAUGGUGCAAUGGGACAUGGGAUCUCUUUAAUAAGAAAUGCAGAAAAGUUACAAGCUCAGGAUCACUUGAUUGUUCAGGAAUAUCUUGACAAGCCAUUUCUUAUGGAAGGCUACAAGUUUGAUUUACGUGUGUAUAUUCUUGUCACCUCCUGUGAUCCAUUAAAAGUAUUUUUAUAUCAUGAUGGACUAGUGAGAAUGGGCACAGAAAAGUACCAUCCCCCCAGUGACUCAAAUUUGAGUCAAUUGUAUAUGCAUCUGACUAACUACUCUGUCAAUAAACAUAAUGAGCACUUUGAACGGGAUGAAACAGAAGACAAAGGAAGCAAACGCUCCAUAAAAUGGUUUACUGAGUUUCUACAAACAAAUAAUCUUGAUGUCUCCAAAUUCUGGGAUGAUAUUUCAGAGUUAGUAGUGAAGACUCUCAUAGUUGCAGAGCCACAUGUUCUUCAUGCUUAUCGCAUGUGCAGGCCGGGGCAAGCACCAGGAAGUGACAGUGUCUGCUUUGAAGUCCUGGGAUUUGAUAUUCUGCUGGACAGAAAACUAAAACCAUGGCUCCUAGAGAUUAAUCGUGCCCCGAGCUUUGGAACUGAUCAAAAAAUAGACUAUGAUGUAAAAAAAGGCGUUCUGCUAAAUGCAUUAAAGCUUCUCAACAUACGGACAAGUGAUAAAAGGAAAAAUUUAGCUCAACAGAAGGCUGAGUCUCAAAAAAGACUGUAUGGUCAAGGUUCAAUGAAAAAACUGUUGCCAGGUUCCUCAGACUGGGAGAGGCAGCGCCACACACUGGAAAGGAGAAAAGAAGAGCUGAAGGAAAGACUUGCACAAGUACGUAAACAGAUUUCCAAAGAGGAGCAUGAAAAUAGACACAUGGGGAACUACAGGCGAAUUUACCCUCCUGAUGAUAAGACAUUACUUGAAAAGUACGAGAGUUUGUUAGCCACUGCUUUCCAGACAUUUCUUGCUGGGAGGGCAGCUUCUCUUCAACGGGAAAUGAAUAACCCUUUAAAAAGAAUGAAGGAGGAGGACAUUUUGGAUCUUCUGGAGCAGUGUGAAAUAGAUGAUGAAAAGCUAAUGGAAAAGUGCACCAGGCAGCGAGGACCUAAGCCCCUGUAUUCAAUGCCAGAAAGUGCACAGCCCUUAAGGAAACUUAAGUACUACAAUAGUGAUAGUACCUGCGACAGCAGUAGCAGUAUUUCAGAAUCAGCAGAAGAAACUGAAAAGGAAGAUCAAAAGGAAGAUCACAAUGAAAAAAAAGAGAAAAAGGUUUCAUAUGAUCUUGAAGAAAAUAAAUACAAAUCUUUGGAACGAUCAGGUAGAACGAACUGGAAACCUUCAAUUAAAAAUACAAAAUCUCCAUCACAUUCAUCCCCCACAUCAUCCACAGGUCCAAUAAGACGUUCUGUAAGCUGCCCUCGUUCGAUAUCAAUAUUGACUAUGCAGUCACAGGCAGCUGAGCAACGUCCCUUGUCAGCAAAAACAUCUCUGCAAAUGCAGCGUGCAUCUUCAGUGAAUAGGUCUCAUUCUUUAAAUCGUAGCCCAACUUCGGCCAGAGUCUCUCAGGCAUCCAGCGUGGGAACUGUGAACUCUUCAGGGACUGUCAUCCCCUUUGGUAUCUCCUUCACAGUCCAGGCAUUUCUUCUUUUAUGUUUGCGUGAUGGACCACAUAUCCACUUAUCCCUGGGUAGCGUUUGCUGGGAUCAGUCCACAACCUCGUUCAGUACUGUACUGCGUGCUAGUGCCAGUGUAUUUCCAUUCAUGCUGUGGUGCCUGACCUAUAUAUUUCAUCACCCAAAUAAUUCAGGUGGAGAUGGGGAAAGCAAAUUGGAACUUUUCAUCCAUAUUUGCAGCCUUUCUCUAUUGUGGUGAGCUUUGAUUGUGAGAAAUCCUUUUGUAAUGCUAAUUAACUUGCUUCAUAGUGUUUACUAUCUCUAAUCAUCAUUUCUAUCCGGUAGAACGCUCAUUGUCUGUUUUGCCUGUGAGGUUUUGUCUAAAUGAUGAAAAAGGAUCCUUUUAAAAUUUUGUGCUGACAUCUUGUGAAAUACUCCUUAACAUGGUUUUCCAUCUUUAAAGUCAGCUAAUAGAAUUGGAAAGACAUUAGGAGUGUGUCUUCACCACAACGUGUUAAAGAGUGAGUCUUUGCUGCAACAGAAAACGAAAGAGCAAGAAAUGGCUUUGACAAAAGAGACUCUUCUCAUUAUCAGUGACAUGAGAAUGAAGUUCCCAGGAAAAACAGAUGAAGAAUCAGAAUUUAUUAUAGAAGAUAUCAUGGAUAACUGGAAGUAUCACAAAACAAAAGUGGCAUCUUAUUGGUUGAUAAAACUGGAUUCUGUAAAACAACGAAAAAUUUUGGAUAUAGUCAAGACAAGUGUUCAUGCCGUUCUACAGCAUGUCUGGAAGGCUCCAGACAUUGAAAAUUUACAUCUAUACCGUCUCUUUAACCGUGUAUUUAAUCGCUUACUUUGGAGCCAUGGUCAAGGCCUAUGGAACUGUUUCUGUAAUUCAGGGAACUCUUGGGAAACCAUACUGAGUAAAAGCACAGAGGUGGUGACUCCUGUGCAACUCCAGUGCUGCCAACGAAUAGUACAGCUUUGUAAACACUGCCUGCUGGUGGUUUACAAAUAUUCAUCAGACUCAAGAGGAUCCCCAACUGGGAAUAGCCCCCACUGGGAUGAUAGAAGGUGUUUAUUACCAGGACCUUCACUGUUCAUCAUGAAAUCAUCUUCGUCCAACAUUAGCUGCAGUUCAUCUGGAAUGUCUCACCCUAGCAUUUUGUUCACACACAGAUACAGUCACUUGUGAAGCAAAAGAAAAGUUGCUGUUCUUUGUAAAUAACGGCACUCCUUUUCUUUUUUCCUUUUUUUUUUCUUCUUUCUUUCAAAUUCAAAUUUGUGAUGGAGCUAAAUAUAAGCACUGUUACAUACUUACUACCAUAUUAUGAUAACAUUUAGCUGAAACCUACUGUAAAAGCAUAGCUUUCCUGGAAAGAUAAUAAACCUUGUUAAGUUGUUUACACACACAUGUGAAUGUGUAGAUCUUGCUAAAUUUAUAAGUAAUUCCUUCCUACUAGAAAUGUUAUUUUUGCUGCAGAAUAUAUAAAAUAGAGUUGAAGAUCCUAUUAUAGUGUCACAUUAUUUUGUAAGUACAAUACAUCGACUUGAAUAUUAUUUAUUGUAAAGCAUAUUUAUUGUCUCAAAUGUAACUGAUCUUUUAACAAGGCAAAUGAUUAAAAAAAUGUAAUAGAACAGUAAACUGUAACAAUCAGUGAAAAUAAUCUGCUAAUUUCUUGGACAUGUUCAAAAUAAUCCCCAAAACUCUGUAAACCAAACCUAAAGCAGACAUCUUUUUAUUUCUCCUCUGAAAUUACAAAAUCUAUUUAAUGCUGCUAUUUUUUAUAAGGGACCUGGUAUAGUAUCUUUUAGCCAAAGUGAAGACAUCUAGUACACAAACAAAAAAAAUAUCAGUUUAGGCAUUCGGUUUCUAAUUGGAUUCUUGUAAUAAAACGGAAGCCAAUGUUUGUUACCAGGUUUUCAUUCACAUUACCUAUGUCCUGUGCCUUUAAGUUUCUUUUGGGAGCAAGAAGUCAUGUUCAACUUGCACAAGCAUGCAUAGUGCAUAGUUUUUCUGUUUUACUGCACAAAUGGUAAAGCAGACACUUUUAGGAAAUACUGCAGCUAUAAUGUGCUAUUUCAACCUUAAACUUAUUGGUUUGUUGUAGUUUUUAGCAUACAAUUCAGUACCUACUGUAGAAUGUAUCCUUGGAAUGGACAGUAUUUUCUAGAUUUCUGACACCUUUACAUGCUGGAAAUCUAAUUCAUCAGAAAGCUCUCAUUCAGCUUCAGCGUCCUGGGCCUGGCUGAAAGGCACAAAAAGAAAACAAGCCAGAGCAGGAACCUAGUAUUUGCUCUAACAGGAUUUGUAACUGAAAACAUCAUUCAAGUUUUGCUACAUACAAUUCAUCCCACUCAGCAUUAUGCCAUGAGCCUUAUUCACUAUAGAAAUAAUUAUUAAAAAAAAUCAGUUAAAGUAGAUUUAAAAAUGGAUUUUUUUAACUGAGUAAAGGACAGAGUAGUUAUUAUUUACCAAAGACUUGUUUACUUACCAAUCAUGUAACCCUGAAACAUGUUUAUAAAUUAUCAAUAUAUUUCAGGUAUCCUCAGGAGCAAGUAUGUUAGAGGUUUUUGAUAUCCAGAGAUUUAAGACAAAUUUAAGAGACUUAAGAGAUGUGAGACUGGAGUUGUCUGGAAAUGAUUUUUUUUUAAACUUCAGUCAUUGCAUAUAUAAAACUGGGAAUUUGGGUGAGAUUUUUGAUGCCUGUGCUGUAGUGCCUCAGCUCUAGAACUGCAGGAUAUAUGAUAAUGAAAUUAUUUGUAAACAAUUAAAAAACCCUCUUGAUAUUAGCCAGAUAUAAGCAGUCUUCUGGUCUGGUAAAGUCUUCUUCAUUUUUGUGGUAAUACUCGUUUAGUAGCAUAGUACAUUCAUAAUAAUUGUAUAUCUCUUUUGGUCCGUACAGCGACCACUGAUAAAGCGCAUACUAUAGUUAUCUGUAAGACCUAAUAAAAGCUGUAAAUUCUCUCUUGGGGGAGACUUUCACUGCAUUCUGCUUUUGGCCAUAUGGAUAAAACCAGCUUCCAGCUUAGCUUGCCAGACUCAAACAGAGCCUUAGGAGAGUAGGUUCACAUGCUUUCCCUCCCCCCAACCCCUCUUUUUGGGUUUUCUUUUUCCUUCUUUUAAGUUACAUUAUGAUCUCUAUUUUCAGAAGCCAGUGCAGGGACAGUCAAUCUGUACAGAAUACUCUGUCAGCAGAAAGAGGGCUACUAACCAUACCUAUGUGGUAUGGUCAGAUCUAGAAAAGAAAAAAUACAUUUAGUGUGUACAAAAUUGGACCAGAUGGUUGGUUUGCAUCUGACAUUACUUACUAUAUUCAUAUUUCUGAUAACCUUGCCUAAAGUGGUACUAUGUUCCUAAUAAUGUGUGAAUCAAUACUUCCAAUAAAUGUAAUGCUACACUUUCCUGCCAGCUCCUCAGAA